GACGAACGCUGGCGGCGUGCUUAACACAUGCAAGUCGAACGGAAAGGCCCUGCUUUUGUGGGGUGCUCGAGUGGCGAACGGGUGAGUAACACGUGAGUAACCUGCCCUUGACUUUGGGAUAACUUCAGGAAACUGGGGCUAAUACCGGAUAGGAGCUCCUGCUGCAUGGUGGGGGUUGGAAAGUUUCGGCGGUUGGGGAUGGACUCGCGGCUUAUCAGCUUGUUGGUGGGGUAGUGGCUUACCAAGGCUUUGACGUGUAGCCGGCCUGAGAGGGUGACCGGCCACAUUGGGACUGAGAUACGGCCCAGACUCCUACGGGAGGCAGCAGUGGGGAAUAUUGCACAAUGGGCGGAGGCCUGAUGCAGCAACGCCGCGUGCGGGAUGACGGCCUUCGGGUUGUAAACCGCUUUCGCCUGUGACGAAGCGUGAGUGACGGUAAUGGGUAAAGAAGCACCGGCUAACUACGUG
Molecule: ribosomal RNA, 468 nt
Filed under: uncultured bacterium
Lineage: Bacteria
Description: partial 16S ribosomal RNA
Rfam family: Bacterial small subunit ribosomal RNA
Source: RNAcentral